UACGUAGGGUGCGAGCGUUGUCCGGAUUUAUUGGGCGUAAAGAGCUCGUAGGCGGUUUGUCGCGUCGGCCGUGAAAUCUCCACGCUUAACGUGGAGCGUGCGGUCGAUACAGGCAGACUUGAGUUCGGUAGGGGAGACUGGAAUUCCUGGUGUAGCGGUGAAAUGCGCAGAUAUCAGGAGGAACACCGGUGGCGAAGGCGGGUCUCUGGGCCGAUACUGACGCUGAGGAGCGAAAGCGUGGGGAGCAAACAGG
This 253-nucleotide ribosomal RNA is filed under the name uncultured bacterium. RNAcentral's name for it is "partial 16S ribosomal RNA". It matches the Rfam family "Bacterial small subunit ribosomal RNA", at positions 524 to 776 of the family's 1533-position model. The record is from RNAcentral.